UACGGGGGGGGCAAGCGUUGUUCGGAAUUACUGGGCGUAAAGGGCUCGUAGGCGGCCAACUAAGUCAGACGUGAAAUCCCUCGGCUUAACCGGGGAACUGCAUCUGAUACUGGAUGGCUUGAGUUCGGGAGAGGGAUGCGGAAUUCCAGGUGUAGCGGUGAAAUGCGUAGAUAUCUGGAGGAACACCGGUGGCGAAGGCGGCAUCCUGGACCGGCACUGACGCUGAGGAGCGAAAGCCAAGGGAGCAAACGGG
Molecule: ribosomal RNA, 253 nt
Filed under: uncultured bacterium
Lineage: Bacteria
Description: partial 16S ribosomal RNA
Rfam family: Bacterial small subunit ribosomal RNA
Source: RNAcentral